ACGAUCAAGUGUCUUAAGGGCAAUUGGUGGAUGCCUUGGCAUGCACAGGCGAUGAAGGACGUGAUACGCUGCGAUAAGCUACGGGGAGGUGCGAAUACCCUUUGAUCCGUAGAUUUCCGAAUGGGGAAACCCACCUAAGGUGCUUGGAAAAUCAGAGCAGCCAGUGGUCGAAAGGCCGACUGGCUGCUGUGGUUUCCAAGUAUCUGUUAUAGGUAACUUAUCCUGAAUACAUAGGGAUAAAGUGGCGAACGCGGGGAACUGAAACAUCUAAGUACCCGUAGGAAAGGACAUCAACCGAGACUCCGGCAGUAGUGGCGAGCGAACCCGGACCAGGCCAGUGGCGAUGAUGAGACAAGCGGAACCUUCUGGAAAGUAGGGCCAUAGUGGGUGACAGCCCCGUACGCGUAAUGCAAAUCAUCGUCCUCGAGUAAGGCGGGACACGUGAAAUCCUGUCUGAAAUUGGGGGGACCACCCUCCAAGCCUAAGUACUCGUGCAUGACCGAUAGCGAACUAGU
Molecule: ribosomal RNA, 515 nt
Filed under: Mesorhizobium muleiense
Lineage: Bacteria; Pseudomonadati; Pseudomonadota; Alphaproteobacteria; Hyphomicrobiales; Phyllobacteriaceae
Description: bacterial LSU rRNA
Rfam family: Bacterial large subunit ribosomal RNA
Source: RNAcentral